Molecule: long non-coding RNA, 2582 nt
Organism: Canis lupus familiaris (dog)
Lineage: Eukaryota; Metazoa; Chordata; Mammalia; Carnivora; Canidae
Exons: 9
Source: RefSeq, a predicted model, not a curated record
AAUACCAAUUUUAUACAAACUCAUCUAGAGAAAGAAUAAACUCAUUUCCUUAUCCCCUACUUGUAUCCUUUAUAGUAAAAUUGAAAAAGCAUAUUAAAAUAAAGAAAAAUUAUGGACUUCAUGAGAGAUUUAUGAACAAUCUCAACAAAAUAUUAGCAAUUUGAAUCCCUACUAUAGAUAGAUAAUAUUUCAAAACUAAGUUUGAUUUAUUCUAGGAAUACCAAUUUGUAUUAAUAUUUAAGAAAACAAUCUUUGAAAAAAAUAACCAACCUUUGUAAUUCACCAUUUUAACAAAAUAAAAAGGAAAAAUUAUAAUUUCAACAGAUGGAGCGAAAGCAUUUGAUAAAACCCAACCAUUUAUGCUCAAAAGGCAAAACAACAUAAACCAAAAUGCAAAAAUGUACCACACUAAGAAUGGUAGAGAACCUUUUUAAUUUGAUAAAAGAUUAUCUGCAAUAAUCUAUAGCAAACAAGAUAUAUAAUGCUGAAAUAUUGAAAAUUUUCCUCUGGAGAUGGGGAGCAAAAGAUAUCUGCAAUCACUACUUUAACAUUGAACUAGAGGUCCUUAGCAGUGCAAUGGAACAAGAAAAAAAAACAACUAAAGGUAUAAAGAUAAGAAAGGAAGAAAUGAAUUAUUAUUUGCAGAUAGCAUGUGCGUCUAUGGAGAAAGUUCAAAAUUAUCUACAAUUAAAUAGACAAACCUGGUAAAUGAAUUUAGAAAGGUGGCUGCAUUUAAGCUUAUACCAAAAUCAACUGUAUUCCUAAAUAUCAGCCAUGAAUAAUUAGAAUAUAAAAUUAGCAUAAAAGAGCUAAAAUAAGUCAGCGACGGAUUUCAGUGUCCUAUACUAUAAAUAAAGUGUGCCUUGCCACAUGUUCACUCAGCUCCUCAGCUGUCAUAUUCCAAUAUCCCUACACAUCCUCCCAGAGACAUUCUCAGACCUAUGGUGGCUGAGGCUUUGAGCUUCUUUCAUUUAUUCCAUCCGACAAUCACUGUCAAAACACAUCUGCCCAUUCUAUUAGUCCUAUCCAUAAUCUCUAUCUUAUUUCCAAGUCAGUACCAUUUUUUUCUUCAUGGAACGUAUUAAUACUUUCAUUUUUUGGUUUUUCUUGCAUCACUGCUACAAUGUAUUUUCAGUUGAAAGUAUGAACAUAGUGAGACAUUGAUCACUAAGGCUUCAUGAAGUUCAACUGGCUUGUCAGGAAUGUGGAUUAGAGCUGGGUCCUAUUUCAAGAUCUCCAUACCAUUAAAAAUAAGGAAAGAAAACUUCCGGGUAAAAAUGGCAAGUAGAACUCAUACACUACCUUCUUGAUCUUGAGAAAAAAAUGGACUGGAUUUUGGCAAAAGGAAUAUUUUAAAACUGUAUAAACCAUGAAGCCUAAGAUAAUGGAGGAGGUGAAACAAUAAAUAUUAGAAAAUAGAAAGCAGAUGGAAGACUUAGCCGAAUCUUGAGAGAGCCACAGCAUAAACCAGCAGUAGGAGAAGAGGCCGGUCAGCCUGAAGUACACCACACACUCCUCUCAGAGGCUCAGCAUGAGAGGUUUCUCUGCUGCUCAUAUCUGAAGAACCAAGACUCCAUGCUGCUGUGCAAAUAGCCUGGCAGGAGAGAUCUGGUGUGUGAGGGUCUAAAUCUUCCAGCUGGAGAAUAAGGAGUUGUCCAGCUUCUUUUGGGCCUGCAGAGUGGACUUCUGGGACCAGAUUGAUUUGAUGCUGCAGCUCUGUGAAACUCUCAGAGGUGAUAACCCUAAACACCUAUUUAACAACCAAGAUGUCACGAAGAUAAUACAAAUCAAGGGGAAAAAAGGGAGCACAGUUUCAGAGGGAAUAAUGGGUGCAAUUAAAGUUAUUGCUUUGCAGGUAAAUGUGGCCAAGUGACUAGUUUCAUCCAAUGGAAUGUAAGCGAAUGUGAAAUGUGAGACUUCUGGGAAAUUUAGGAACCGUUGUGUCCUGCUACAUCCUAUCCUGUCUUCUAUUGCCAGAGAAAACGGAGGUCCAGGUCCCUAGAUAAUGUUAUGGGCAGUCUAUCGGGCCUGUGCAUGAACACACAUUUCAAGGGAUAAUGUAUGCUCCUCAUGCCUCAUCACUGCAGCGUUAGAGGCUCUGGACCACUUUAUCACUCUGAGCAUCUUCCUUUUGGAUGAAUUUAAUUGGCGAGGUUCUACUAUACUGGAUAAUAGUCGAAGAGUUGAUUUUAUUUUUAAAAUCUGACCAUGAUUGAGCAUCUCAAAGAUAGAAAAUGUUAUUAGCUCUGGAAGUGGUUAAUGUGAUGAAAAAACAUAUGAUAUUGAAAAAAAAAUCCACCUCAAUCCAAAGUGAUGGCAGUAAGUGGAAUCCAGUGUAUCAUGGAACACCUAAUGCACACAAGAUGUGGAGCGUGUCCCUUGGUCAGAACUUUUAAAUACUAAGUAGCAGUGAAUGGGAGAAAUAAAUCAACUGGGAGGAUGGCUAGAAUAAUAAACAGGGAAGAUGCUUUAUACUCACAUCCCAGCAAAGCAAUAUGAAAAAGUGAUCCUGGCUGUCAUGAGCUAUUACUGAGUGAAAAACUUCUUUGUAGCCCUUCUAACUUUAAAAAAAAAAAAAAAAA